AAUGGUUUCCAAAUUAUCCUCGGGACCAAGAGAAUACGGGGGCGGGUAGGAGAGGAUGAAGGGCAAGGUCUCUGGAAGUGGGAGAGAUAAGAGAUGCUGGCAGAGCGGGGGUUGGAUAAAGGAACAGUAAUUAUGAAGUAACUCUCAAAAGACAAACCACUGAGCCUAUGGAAGGAAGGAAGGGAAAGGGAAUGAUGGUGAUCCUCCCUACAGAGGCGCUGGGCUAGGAGUGUCCCUCUGUAGGAGCAGGUCCAUAGUGAUCGGGAAGGUGCCAAGGAAGAUGACCUAUAGUGAGAAAUGCCCUGGGUCCUACUUUGCUCAAUUCCCUCCGUUUUACUGGCAGCUCUGGUACAGGUGGCAGGGCCUCUUCUGGGCAGGGAAAAACAUCCUUAAGACUUUUCUCUGACUGAUUUUUUUUAAGUCAUCUAUCUGUCCUGACAUGGGAAAAGGUUCAAGAAAUAGAGCCAAUGCCCCGAAAUUUCAGACUAAACUGGUCAGAUGGCCAAGCAUGAGAGAAACCCAUGGCGACACCCUUCUCUCCUGGCAACCAAGUUCACAGUGUUGCGCCUUCUAAUGUCCACCCUGAAACAUAAUGAAUCUCUGUGUAGGGAGCAUGGCAUUGCCAAGGUGAAGACGAUCUACCUACAUUUAUCACUGCUUAGUCAGCUUCAUGGCACUCAUCCCACUGAGUAGGAAGUUGUCUCCUAACUUUGUUUCUUGAAGAUUCUUUCUAUAUUAAAGGACAAACCACUUGGAAGAUCUUUGCUCCUCUCCCCUGCUUGAAAUACAUGCCUUUCUUUGAAAGUGUCAUAGGCCAGAAUAAGUUAUAAACCCCAGCAAAGCUUUGUAAAUGUUAACACUUUGCUUUCCUUAAAAUUUCUGUCACUUGGAAGGAUUCCUAGUGUGGAAAAGAUGUUUCAUUUAGAUUAAAAAAAUAAAUGCUGGCUAAAUAUAAAACUAUAUUUUUCACAUGCUUAUACAUAGCAAAUUAUCAGGAUAAAAGGACACUGUCAUGAAUUGUUGAAUCACUAAGAUCAGAUAAAGUGCACUUUACAUAAACAGUACAGUUUUAUGGACAAGCAUCAUUAGUUCUAUGUGACU
Myotis brandtii (Brandt's bat) is the source of this 1101-nucleotide long non-coding RNA. RefSeq lists it as uncharacterized. NCBI's taxonomy places the organism in Eukaryota, Metazoa, Chordata, Mammalia, Chiroptera, Vespertilionidae. The record is from RefSeq and is a predicted model, not a curated record. The transcript is spliced from 3 exons.